Molecule: ribosomal RNA, 497 nt
Filed under: uncultured bacterium
Lineage: Bacteria
Description: partial 16S ribosomal RNA
Rfam family: Bacterial small subunit ribosomal RNA
Source: RNAcentral
GACGAACGCUGGCGGCGUGCUUAACACAUGCAAGUCGAGCGAACAGAUGAGGAGCUUGCUCCUCUGACGUUAGCGGAGGACGGGUGAGAAACACGUGUAUAACCUACCUAUAAUACUGGGAUAACUUCGGGAAACCGGAGCUAAUACCGGAGAAUAUACUGAACCGCAUGGGUCAAUGGUGAAAUACGGUUUUGCUGUCAGUAAUAGAUGGAUCUGCGCCGCAUUAGCUGGUUGUUAGGUUAACGGCUUACCAAGGCAACGAUGCGUAGCCGAACUGAGAGGGUGGUCGGCCACACUGGAGCUGGAACACGGUCCAGACUCCUACGGGACGCAGCAGUCGGGAAUCUUCCGCAGUGGGCGAAAGCAUGACGGAACAACGCCACGUGAGUGGUGGAGGUCUUCGGAUCGUAAAGCUCUGUUAUUGGGGAAAAACAAAUGUGUAAGUAACUGUGCACGUAUUGACGGUAACUGAUCAGAAAGCCACGGCUAACUACGUG